Equus caballus (horse) is the source of this 2887-nucleotide long non-coding RNA. The record is from Ensembl. Lineage: Eukaryota; Metazoa; Chordata; Mammalia; Perissodactyla; Equidae.
CUUUUCAAUCCAUGUGCCUCAAUUGCUAACUCUUAUCCAAUUGCAUUGACUAAUACUUCCAACACAAUAUUAAAUAGGAGUGGAGAUUGCAAGCAUCAUUAUAUUCUUUCUGAGUUUUGCAGGAAAGCCUCUAACGAUUCUCCAUUAAGUAAAAUAAAUGCUGAUACAGUGUGUUAUGUGUGUGCGCGCCCAUAAUUAAUCUUAAGGAAGUAUGCAAUAUUGAAAAUAGCUAGCAAUCUAAUCUCUUCACCUCACCUCUUCUCGUUCCCCUUCAGUUAUCCAAAAUUUUACUUUAAGUUUUUUCAGUCCUAAGACCAUUGAGAAGAUCAGGAAGCUUAAUCUACUUUUUAUAUAAAGUCCUAAUUCUUUACCAUUUAAAAUAAUUGUAUUCUAUCUGUAGGACAAUAUUUUCUCCCUUAUAACCAUUAUUCUUAGUACUACAAAUUAAAUAUCUACUUAAUGCUCACCACCAGUCUUUAUGUCAAUGUAUUUCCAGUCUUAUUUCUUGUCUAGAGCUCACUCUCGUCCAUUCCUCAGAAACAGAUCUAUAUCUAUAUCUAUCUAUCUAUCUAUCUAUCCAUCUAUCUAUCUUCAGGUUCACUGAUUAUUUCUUCUGUCAUCUCCAUAUCUCUAUUCUUCUACUGAUGUCAUCCAACAAAUUUUAUAUUUAAACCUAUACUGUUUUAUAUUAUAUAAAUAUACUUUAUAUUGUAUUUUUGUUUAAAAAUCUGUUCCUCUUUUACAUUUCUAUAAAUUGUCUACACUUUGAUUCCCUGUGAGCAUGUCUCCUUUGGCCUCAUUCAGUGUAUUCAAAUAGCUGCUGCUAAGCCCUGGUCUGAUAAUUCUAACAUCUUGGUCAUCUUGAGGUUCGCGUCAGUUGAUUGUCUUUUCCUGUUAAAAUGGAUCAUAUCUUUUCUGGCUUUUUGUACAUAUAGUAAUUUUGCCUUAUAUCCUGGACAUUUUGGCUUCUGUUAUUUUCCUCCGGAAUGGUGAUAUUUAUGUUUUAGCAGGCAAUUAACUGAGUUCAACUCAAACUGCAAACUGUCAACAGCUGUGUUGGGUGUUGGCUCCGCUCUCAGUUCAGACUGACUUCAGUUUGUUCUGUGCGUGCUUGGUCCCAGGGUGAGCCAGAGGCUCGGCAGGUUUUCACACAUUCUUUGGGGUCCUCCAUCUCUCAUUCUUCCCUUUCUGGGAUUCCCUCCUCACUCUCUGGAAGCUCUGAUUGCCUGAGCCCCUUCUCUGGUUCUCCUUACUAGAAAGAAGGGGAGCAGUCUGUCAGAGUUUCAGCCCUCCUACACUUCCAGUGGCACUGCAGAUGCUCUCAGGGUAAUGCUACAAAACAGAAACCAAAACAGGAGAACAGGGGGCUUAUUUCCGAGCGAAACACUUCCUCCAAGUAUUGACUCUCUUCCAAAGUCUGCCUGCUUUUGCUUGUUGCUGGUUUUGUAUUUUUCUCAGUUUAUCUGAAGGAAGGCUGGGUGGGCUGUAACUCCACCAUGUUCAAAGCAGAACUUCCCUGGAAGGGAUCUUUGGUGUGCUAGUUUUAUGUGGGUUGGAUUCCUCCAGUAUCAUCAGACAUUAUUAGACCUUAUCCUCUCAUGGCCUCUUGCAGACACUCAUGAAUUCAAUCCAGCAGAAUCCUUCCCAGUUUCGGCUGCUGUUCUCAUUGAGUACCUGUUUCAAAUUUGGGGGUCCUCCUGUUACCAGGGUCAUCAGAUGCCACAGUGCUUCCCUCUCUUCAUCCAACACAGAUAGUGAUUCCACAUGGACCAUGCAGGUUUGGGUGAUGAACACCCAAAGUAGGGCUGCUGUAAAAAAAAUUACCACAAAUGGAGUGGCUUAAAACAGCAGCAAUUCUUUCACAGUUCUGGAGGCCAGAAGUCUGAAGUCAGAGUGUUGUCAAGGCCAUGGUCUCUCUGAAGGCUUCCUUGCUUCUUCCUUACUUCUGGUGACUGCUGGCAAUCCUUGACGUUCCUCAGCUUGUAGAUGCAUCACUCUCAUCUCUGCCUCUUUUGUCACAUGGCCUUCUCCCUGUGUGUCUUCUGUGUGCCCAAAUUUCCCUUGCUUUAUAAGGACACCAGUCAUCGGAUUAAGGCCCAUAUUAAUCCAACAUGACCUAGUCUUAACUUGAUGGCAUCUACAAAAAUCCUAUUUCCAAAUAAGGUCAAAUUCACAGUUGUUAGGACUUGAACUUAUCUUUUUGAGAACACAUUUCAACCUACGACAGGUGAUUUGCCCUCAAUGGAUCAUAUUGGGAGUAUUGGAGGAUAAUUUGUAAUCCAGUUUUUUUAAAGGUCAUUCAUGGACCUUUUAUCUGCUUUUCUAGCUUUUUUUUUGGUCAGGAAAUUUGGAGAGAUUCCUAAAAGGUGAAAACACCAGAUAUUGAAUAGAGUUACAUAGGUUUUGUAAUGGGAGAUGGUGUGUUGUUGCAAGCAGGCAAAGAAUAAAGAACAGGAUGAGGGGCUAAAAAAAAUUUGCUUUCAGCAUAAGUAUCACCCAAGACAUGAAUUACAAUCCUACCUAAAACAGGCAGGAAAAUGCCUAUUUUAUGUUAUUUUUUUUCUUUGUGAGGAAGAUUGGCCCUGAGCUAACAUCUAUUGCCAAUCUUCCUCUUUUUGCUUGAGGAAGAUUGUCCAUCUGUGGCAAUCUCCCUCUGUUUUGUAUGUGGGACGCCUCCACAGCAUAGCUUGAUGAGCAGUGCUAGGUCCAUGCCCAGAUCUGAACCUAUGAACCCUGGACUACACAUGAACUUAACCACUAUGCCACAGGGCCAGCCCCAAAAAUGCCUAUUUUAAAAAUGAUGAAAGAUUGAGAUGAAAACAUUUAAAAUAUAUAUCUAGGGAUUCAAAUUUCUAACUAUGAUAUUUAUUUUAGAUUUAGUAAAAAU